Molecule: ribosomal RNA, 502 nt
Filed under: uncultured bacterium
Lineage: Bacteria
Description: partial 16S ribosomal RNA
Rfam family: Bacterial small subunit ribosomal RNA
Source: RNAcentral
GAUGAACGCUGGCGGCGUGCCUAAUACAUGCAAGUCGAACGAAGAUCUAGCUCGCUAGAUCUUAGUGGCGAACGGGUGAGUAAUACAUAAAUAAUCUGCCCAUAUGACUGGGAUAACUAUUGGAAACGAUAGCUAAUACCGGAUAGGUUGAUCGGAGGCAUCUCUGAUGAAUUAAAGUAGGAUUUCUACACAAAUGGAUGAGUUUAUGGCGCAUUAGUUAGUUGGUGGGUAACGGCCUACCAAGACGAUGAUGCGUAGCCGACCUGAGAGGGUGACCGGCCACACUGGGACGGGGACACGGCCCAGACUCCUACGGGAGGCAGCAGUAGGGAAUUUUCGGCAAUGGGCGCAAGCCUGACCGAGCAACGCCGCGUGAGUGAUUAAGGCCUUCGGGUUGUAAAGCUCUGUUGUAAGGGAAGAACAUUCAGGACAGGAAAUGAUCUUGAACUGACGGUACCUUACCAGAAAGCCACGGCUAACUACGUGCCAGCCGCCGCGGUAA